Molecule: transfer RNA, 87 nt
Filed under: Haloarcula saliterrae
Lineage: Archaea; Methanobacteriati; Methanobacteriota; Halobacteria; Halobacteriales; Haloarculaceae
Description: tRNA-Ser
Source: RNAcentral
ACGGGGUUUCCCUAGUCUGGCCAAGGGGCCGUGCUGGAACCACGGUGCCCGCGAGGGUACGGGUGUUCAAAUCGCCCUCCCGCCGUG